AACAACGCUGGCGGCGUGCCUAACACAUGCAAGUCGAACGGGGGGAACAUGAAGUAUUUCGGUACGGAAUGCGCCCCUAGUGGCGAACGGGUGAGUAACACGUGGGCAACCUGCCCCAGACUGGGGGAUAACAUUGUGAAAACAGUGCUAAUACCGCAUGACAGGGUUCCGGGCAUCCGGGACCCUUGAAAGGAGAAAUCCGGUCAGGGAUGGGCCCGCGUCCAAUUAGCUAGUUGGCGGGGUAACGGCCCACCAAGGCGACGAUUGGUAGCCGAACUGAGAGGUUGAUCGGCCACAUUGGGACUGAGACACGGCCCAGACUCCUACGGGAGGCAGCAGUGGGGAAUAUUGGGCAAUGGGCGAAAGCCUGACCCAGCGACGCCGCGUGAAGGAUGAAGGUCUUCGGAUUGUAAACUUCUUUGAUCAGGGAAGAAAGAAAUGACGGUACCUGAAAAACAAGCCACGGCUAACUACGUG
This 477-nucleotide ribosomal RNA is filed under the name uncultured bacterium. RNAcentral describes it as "bacterial SSU rRNA". It matches the Rfam family "Bacterial small subunit ribosomal RNA", at positions 32 to 507 of the family's 1533-position model. The record is from RNAcentral.